RNAcentral lists this ribosomal RNA (398 nucleotides) under uncultured bacterium. RNAcentral describes it as "bacterial SSU rRNA". It matches the Rfam family "Bacterial small subunit ribosomal RNA", at positions 362 to 757 of the family's 1533-position model. The record is from RNAcentral.
UUUGAGGCAACAGGCGCAAGCUUUAUCCAACAAUGCCGCGCGAGAGAAAACAGCCUCGCGGUUGUAAAGAUGUCUUUUCAGGGAUGAACCGGUUUCAGUUAAUACAGUUUGAAAAUGACGGUACCUGAAAAAUAAGCACCGGCUAACUAUGUGCCAGCAGCCGCGGUAAUACAUAGGGUGCAAGCGUUAUUCGGAAUUAUUGGGCGUAAAGAGUUCGCAGGUGGUUAGUUAAGUCAGAUGUGAAAUCCCCAGGCUCAACCUCAGACCGGCAUUUGAUACGGCCAAACUAGAGUUUGUCAGAGGGGAGUAGAAUUCCUGGUGUAGCAGUGGAAUGCGCAGAGUCAGGAGGAACACCAAUGGCGAAGGCACCCCCUGGGACACACUACACUCAGCGCGAA